GAUGAAGAACGUAGCGAAAUGCGAUAAGUAAUGUGAAUUGCAGAAUUCAGUGAAUCAUCGAAUCUUUGAACGUACAUUGCGCCCCUUGGUAUUCCGAGGGGCAUGCCUGUUCGAGCGUCAUUAUAACCCCUCAAGCUCAGCUUGGUGUUGGGGCCUGCUGCACUGGCAGCCCUUAAAAUCAGUGGCGGCGCCAUCUGGCUCUAAGCGUAGUAAUUCUUCUCGCUAUGGAGUCCUGGUGGAUGCUUGCCAUCAACCCCCAAUUUUUCUAUGGUUGACCUCGGAUCAGGUAGGGAUACCCGCUGAACUUAAGCAUAUCAAUAAGCGGAGGA
This 329-nucleotide unclassified non-coding RNA is filed under the name soil metagenome. RNAcentral's name for it is "partial contains 5.8S ribosomal RNA, internal transcribed spacer 2, and large subunit ribosomal RNA". The stretch from base 1 to 120 matches the Rfam family "5.8S ribosomal RNA", at positions 35 to 154 of the family's 154-position model. The record is from RNAcentral.